Molecule: long non-coding RNA, 553 nt
Filed under: Homo sapiens (human)
Lineage: Eukaryota; Metazoa; Chordata; Mammalia; Primates; Hominidae
Description: HSALNT0297359
Source: RNAcentral
GUGAUGUGUUCACCAUGGUGGCCAAGGGACAUAUCAGCUCCAGUGAGCCGAGAAUGGAGGACAUGUGCUUCUUCAAAGGAAAAUGAACACUCAACCUGGAUGGAGCUGGAGGACAUUAUUCUAAGUGAAGUAAUUCAGUUUUCAGGUGAAGAUGAGUUGACCGAAGUGCAUGUGGCUGAUCCAGCUGUUGCACCCUCCAUCCAGUAUAACUUUUGUGCCGUUGCCUUUGGUGCAACCCCUUGACAUGAAACCACAGUUCUUCCAAUAAGCAGAGUGAAUGUGAACACAUGUUGGCAGAACUGUGCCAUUUACAAAGGAAGUGGUGAGAUAUUACUGAGGAAAAGCUAGACAAUGCUGCACCAGCAAUCUGAUCCCGCUCAUUCUUUCUCCAAAAUGUAGUUUCCAACUCUGCAGGAGUAGUGGCUGUGAAAUACAUGGGAAAGAGUUUGAAAAGUAUGUAUCCCACAUUUCACAGCACUUUCCAGGAUUUUACAUUUCAGUAUAGACAAAAGUAAGUGUAUAAUGCUUGUAAAUAAAAUUUACAAACCAAACA